Arvicanthis niloticus (Nile rat) is the source of this 1263-nucleotide non-coding RNA. NCBI's taxonomy places the organism in Eukaryota, Metazoa, Chordata, Mammalia, Rodentia, Muridae. The record is from the annotation of a RefSeq genome assembly.
AUGACUGAAGAAUGCUGCAGAAACUCCGAUUUCAAGGGCUACUGGCAAGACAGGGGGACUUUUCUGUGGCCUGGCAACAUUAGCACCAUCGGGGAGGAGCCAGGGCAGUGUGCCAAAACAACACCCCCAUCUGUCUAUCCACUGGCCCCUGCAUGUAGUGAUACAACUGGAUCCUCGGUGACUCUGGGAUGCCUGGUCAAGGGCUAUUUCCCUGAGCCAGUGACCGUCACCUGGAACUCUGGAUCACUGUCCAGCGGUGUGCACACCUUCCCAGCUGUCAUGCAGUCUGGACUCUACUCCCUCAGCAGCUCAGUGACUGUACCCUCCAGCACCUGGCCCAGCCAGACCAUCACCUGCAACGUAGCCCACCCGGCCAGCAGCACCAAGGUGGACAAGAUCAUUGCUCCUGAACUCCCUGGUGGACCAUCCAUCUAUAUCUUCCCCCCAAAGGCCAAGGAUAUACUCUUGAUCUCCCAAAAUGCCAAGGUCACAUGUGUGGUGGUGGACGUGAGCCAGGAAGACCCAGAUGUCCAGUUCAGAUGGUUUGUGGACAACAAAGAAGUGCACACAGCUCAGACGCAGCCCAGUGAGCAACCGUACAACAGUACCUUGCGGGUGGUCAGUGCCCUCCCCAUAGAGCACCAGGACUGGAUGAAGGGCAAGGAGUUCAAAUGCAAGGUCACCAACAAAGCCCUCCCAGAGCCCAUCGAGAGAACCAUCUCAAAACCCAGAGGAGCAGUCAGAGCACCACAGGUACACGUCUUGCCUCCACCGGCAGAGCAGAUGGCCAAGAAAGACGUCAGUUUGACCUGCAUGAUCACAGGCUUCCUCCCUGAGGACAUUGAUGUGGAGUGGACCAGCAACGGGCGCAUAGAACAGAACUACAAGAACACCCCACCUGUCCUGGAUUCUGACGGUUCUUACUUCCUAUACAGCAAGCUCAAUGUGCCAAAGAGCAGAUGGGAACAAGGAGAUAUUUUCCUCUGCUCAGUGGUACACUUGGGUCUGCACAAUCACCACAUAACGAAGAACAUCUCCCGUACUCUGGGGCUGGAACUGGAUGAUUCCUGUGCUGAGGCCCAGGACGGGGAGCUGGACGGGCUCUGGACGACCAUCACCAUCUUCAUCAGCCUCUUCCUGCUCAGCGUGUGCUACAGCGCCUCUGUCACACUCUUCAAGGUAAAGUGGAUCUUCUCCUCGGUGGUGGAGCUGAAGCAGAAAAUCUCCCCUGACUACAGAAACAUGAUUGGGCAGGGGGCCUAG